This 2360-nucleotide long non-coding RNA is filed under the name Mus musculus (house mouse). RNAcentral describes it as "long non-coding RNA chr17:86570894-86573254". The record is from RNAcentral. Lineage: Eukaryota; Metazoa; Chordata; Mammalia; Rodentia; Muridae.
UUUGAAAAUUACAUGAUAAAAACAUCCGCAGAAGUGCUAUGUGCGGUCCCCGGCACCUGGAAGGGUCUGUGGAUCCUGCCUGGAUGGAUGGAAAACAUUGAGUUUGGGAGUCAGAGAAUUUAUAGGACAAGCCCUCCGCCCAUCCAAAUUCAAUACUGAAACUUUAAUCACCAACACGUCAGAAUAUGACUCUAUUUGAAAAUGGAAUCUUUUAAAAGAGGUAACCACAGUUAGGUCUGGGUGGGCGCCAAUGCAAGACAACUGUUAUCCUUAGAAGAAAUGAAAGGUAGGACCAAGAAAGCACAGUAAAGGACCUUGAGAAGAUGGUCCUCUUCAGGCCAGGGGGAACGUCCUCAGAACAAACCAAUCUGCUGGCAUCUUGACCUUGAUCAUUUAAUUGUCACAACUGAGAGAAGUCAAUUUCUGUCAUUUAAGUGAUUCAAUUGGUGGCAGCUCUCACAAACCAAUGCCAAGGACCUGGGUCCAAGCAUCUAAAUGACCACACGUGUUAUCCUUGUCUCAGAUGUCAGAUGGUGCUAACGGCGGGUGUUUUGCAUAUGGUGGCAAGACCUGUGGGGUUGGCUUGGGUGGGUUAAUAGGCUAGUUUACAGAAGUGUGCCUCUAGAGGUGGGGUUGGGGCUCAGCCAAUGAACCAUCUGUGGUAAAGGCAAUGAUAUAAGCCCCUGUUUGGGUCAAUGGAUGAUAGAUGUGUGGAUUCUGUUGUGCAAGUUAAGGGUCCAACCAAGCAGAGCCUCUAACUCAGCACCAGACAGUAUUCCAGAGAAAGGAGCUUUAUUAAAUUAUAAUUUUAUAAUACAUUCCUGUUAGCCCAGUGGUUCUCAACCUUCCUAAUGCUGUGACCCUUUAAUACAGUUCCUCACCUUGUAGUGACUCACAACCAUAAACUUAUUUUUUUUGCUACUUCAUAACUGUAAUUUUGCUACUGUUAAUUUACUAUAAUGUAAAUAUCGGAUAUGCAGGAUGUCUUAUAUGUGACCCCUGUGAAAGGGUCACUCGACUCCCAAAGGCAUUAGGACCCACAAAUUGAGAACUACUUCGUUAGAAGCACAAGGCAGGAAAAAUAGUUAUUACUUAGUAUCUAUAGUGACAGACCUCCAGGAUCACUGCAGAUACUAAAAUCCAGAGAUAUCCAAGCAUCUUAUGCAAAAUAAAUAACUUACCUAUCUACUCUGUAAACUGUCAUCUCUCGAUUCCUUACACUACCCAAAACAGUGCCAGGAUUUGUAAACAGUUGUCCUGUUGUACCGCUUAGGGAAUGGCAAGAAUAAAAGUAUAUGUCUGGAACAGAUGCAAUUUUUAAAACAUAUUUUGCCUUUGAGGUUGAGUAAUUCCACAGAUGCAGGACUCGUGGAUAUGUAUGGAAGCUGGCUAUGCUGAUCCCUGGUCAGUGAGUUGCAACAGCCCGAAACAUCUGCUAACCAGGAAAGCUUCAGAGGCCGCAUUGGCAGCUCGGUUUUCCUGUUGGGUGAUCUUUGCCACAACUACACAUCAUGCCUGAGCCCCUCAGUCAAGACACUCAUCUGUCCCCCUACCGUGCUGACAACUGAAUAAUGUGUCCCAUGCUAAAUAUUAUCCCAUAAUCUUGAGGUGUAGCUGUUUUUAGGGGUCCAGACUUAUUUUAGGAUGAGGCUUUUCUUUUUUUUUCUUUUUUCUUCCUUCCUUCCUUUCUUUCUUUCUUUCUUUCUUUCUUUCUUUCUUUCUUUCUUUCUUUUCUUUUUCUUUUUUUUUUUUGCCCCGAACUGAUUUCCAUCCGUGUUUUCUGCUGGUUGUAGCAUGGGACAGAGUCACUGUGACAUGAGGAGGAGGAGCGGGUCAGGGGGUGGGGAGUACAGACCAGUGGCUGGGACCAACGCUGUGUUUACAUUCCUCUGAGAAAGCCCCGAUACUGCUGGCCAGAUCAAAAGUAGGAUCAUGAAUUUUGUUGACAUCGGAGAUUCAGAACAAACAGGAAGUUUAGAGCCAGAGAGAAAUUCCUGAUGAAGUUUGAGCUAGGAAUAUGCGUUCAGAGACAAAAUAGUCAGAGACUCUGUGAUCACCUACAUUUAUUCGAGAUCUGGUACAUAACACAGAACAGAGAGGGCCCUGUGUCAGAGUUCAAAACAAAACAAAUAAACAAACAGCUCACACUGCACACGCGAAAUCUUUAACCAUGGGUUCUCGGUCUGUGGAAUCAGGGUGAUAACUCCCCCACAGAGAUACUGUGAGGAUCACGUGAGUUCAUACAUGGGAAAUGUUAUGGUCCUGCCGGGUACAGAGCACACACUCACAUGAGUGGCUAAGUGUCCAGUUAGUAGAAUUCUCUGUAGAAGUGGAGAAGUGGACUGCCAGUUGGCAGACUG